GAGGAAUAGGACCCAUUUUCCCUAUGAUCUCCUUAAAUGUGUAUUCCUCAGGAAGCAUAUCAAAUAAGUCAGCCCCUUUACAAAUCACAUCCUGAACCCUUUUGGGGUUCAAGUAAUGAGAGAAUCUCACCCGAUCAUAAUGACUGUAAGCUUUCAUCUUAAAUAUGAAGUCACUAAUGUAUCGGAAACAAAAGCUGCAAUGCCAACCUGAAUCUGACAAGAGGACAUCAGCCUGGCGAUAAUGAGCAUAUCUAGUUUUCCCUGUCCUGUAGUUAUGAACUGAAGCACGCCAGCUCUUGUUAUCUACAUAAUACUCAAAAGAGUACAAGUAAUUUCUCAGCUGAAGAUGAAGGAUGCCAUCACACCACCUCAAGAGAUUAAUUGUGUGAGCACUAGGGAUCUCAUCAACAUCAGACAUUAUCAACAAGUCAUCAUCUUCUAUACCUGCUAUUCUAAUAAGCUGGUCCAGGGCUACUCGCUGAUAUGCCUCUUCCACAAAGGGGUUUUCCCCUUUCCUAAAUCUCCCCCCAAUUGUUCCAUAAGUCAGACGGGACUCUACAAAUUUAAACUUAUCCCGAUUACGAGCAAAGAGCAAUGAUUUGGGUAGGCCAGUAAAUGUUGAGUUUGAUUCAAGAAGUACAAACUGGGUUAUGUAAGGAUACAGUUCCAUCCAUCGAAUUGUAAGAAUAUCUACUUCAUUA
RNAcentral lists this unclassified non-coding RNA (701 nucleotides) under Hevea brasiliensis (rubber tree). The record is from RNAcentral. Lineage: Eukaryota; Viridiplantae; Streptophyta; Magnoliopsida; Malpighiales; Euphorbiaceae.